Molecule: non-coding RNA, 112 nt
Organism: Acanthosepion pharaonis
Lineage: Eukaryota; Metazoa; Mollusca; Cephalopoda; Sepiida; Sepiidae
Source: the annotation of a GenBank genome assembly
ACGGGUACACCACGUUGAAACAAACACUUACCGUACGAUCGCUGAAGAUAAGCAACGUCAAGCCUGGCCAGUACCUAGAUGGGUUACCGUUUGGGAAUACCAGGUGCUGUAA